UAUCUGGUUACUUCCACUGCUAAUUCUUAUGUAGUGGCUUCAGCAAGUUCUGAGCACAGUGUUUCAUUAUGCCUGACGCGUUGCAUGUGUGCUUUUUAUAAUCAGUACAGUUUGCCUUGUGCACACAUUAUAGCAGCUCGCCAUUUUGCCCAGCAAGACCUUUUUGACAAAGCAUGCAUACCGGACAGGUGGUGUAAGGAUCAUUUCCUGAGUGACAGCUGCAUGGCCUCAAGUGCCACACCAGUGGUGACAAGCAGCAUUCAGCUGCUGCCAUCUGUGAAGCUCGACACUGCUCAAGAAAAGUCCACUGAUGUACCAGCUGCAUGCAUUCACACUACCAUCAAGUCAUCAGGAGCGUCUGUACCUCUAUCUAAAUAUUACACUAUUGUCUAAGAUGGAAAAUCAGACUUGUAUAUUUUGCUGUAAUGGUUCUGCCAAUAAAAGAUUGAUUACACAUA
Dermacentor andersoni is the source of this 458-nucleotide non-coding RNA. Lineage: Eukaryota; Metazoa; Arthropoda; Arachnida; Ixodida; Ixodidae. The record is from RefSeq and is a predicted model, not a curated record.